GAUGAACGCUGGCGGCGUGCUUAACACAUGCAAGUCGAACGAAGCACUUUAUUUGAUUUCCUUCGGGACUGAUUAUUUUGUGACUGAGUGGCGGACGGGUGAGUAACGCGUGGGUAACCUGCCUUGUACAGGGGGAUAACAGUUGGAAACGGCUGCUAAUACCGCAUAAGCGCACGGCAUCGCAUGAUGCAGUGUGGAAAACUCCGGUGGUAUAAGAUGGACCCGCGUUGGAUUAGCUAGUUGGUGAGGUAACGGCCCACCAAGGCGACGAUCCAUAGCCGACCUGAGAGGGUGACCGGCCACAUUGGGACUGAGACACGGCCCAAACUCCUACGGGAGGCAGCAGUGGGGAAUAUUGCACAAUGGGCGAAAGCCUGAUGCAGCGACGCCGCGUGAGCGAAGAAGUAUUUCGGUAUGUAAAGCUCUAUCAGCAGGGAAGAUAAUGACGGUACCUGACGAAGAAGCACCGGCUAAAUACGUG
RNAcentral lists this ribosomal RNA (481 nucleotides) under uncultured bacterium. RNAcentral's name for it is "partial 16S ribosomal RNA". It matches the Rfam family "Bacterial small subunit ribosomal RNA", at positions 28 to 507 of the family's 1533-position model. The record is from RNAcentral.